This 253-nucleotide ribosomal RNA is filed under the name uncultured bacterium. RNAcentral's name for it is "partial 16S ribosomal RNA". It matches the Rfam family "Bacterial small subunit ribosomal RNA", at positions 524 to 776 of the family's 1533-position model. The record is from RNAcentral.
UACGUAGGGUGCAAGCGUUGUCCGGAAUUAUUGGGCGUAAAGAGCUCGUAGGCGGCCAGGUAGGUCUGCUGUGAAAACUCGAGGCUUAACCUCGAGAUGUCGGCGGAAACCAUCUGGCUAGAGUCCGGAAGAGGAGAGUGGAAUUCCUGGUGUAGCGGUGAAAUGCGCAGAUAUCAGGAAGAACACCCGUGGCGAAGGCGGCUCUCUGGGACGGUACUGACGCUGAGACGCGAAAGCGUGGGGAGCGAACAGG